ACGGGUGAGGAACACGUGAAGAAUCUGCCCUCCACUUUGGGAUAACACCGGGAAACCGAUGCUAAUACCGAAUAUUGAAACAUAAGUGGCAUCACUGAGUUUUGAAAGAAUUUUGGUGGAGGAUGACUUCGCGGCCUAUCAGCUAGUUGGUGAGGUAAUGGCUCACCAAGGCAACGACGGGUAGCCGGCCUGAGAGGGCGACCGGCCACACUGGGACUGAGACACGGCCCAGACUCCUACGGGAGGCAGCAGUGGGGAAUCUUGCGCAAUGGGCGAAAGCCUGACGCAGCAACGCCGCGUGCGGGAUGAAGGCUUUCGGGCUGUAAACCGCUUUCAGCAGGAACGAAACUGACGGUACCUGCAGAAGAAGGAGCGGCCAACUACGUGCCAGCAGCCGCGGUGACACGUAGGCUCCAAGCGUUGUCCGGAUUUAUUGGGCGUAAAGAGCUCGUAGGCGGUUGAGUAAGUCGGGUGUGAAAACUUUGGGCUUAACCCGGAGACGCCACUCGAUACUGCUCUGACUUGAGUUCAGGAGGGGAGUGGGGAAUUCCUAGUGUAGCGGUGAAAUGCGCAGAUAUUAGGAGGAACACCGGUGGCGAAGGCGCCACUCUGGACUGAAACUGACGCUGAGGAGCGAAAGCAUGGGUAGCAAACAGGAUUAGAUA
Molecule: ribosomal RNA, 665 nt
Filed under: uncultured bacterium
Lineage: Bacteria
Description: bacterial SSU rRNA
Rfam family: Bacterial small subunit ribosomal RNA
Source: RNAcentral